UCCUCGAUAGCUCAACGGCAGAGCAGGCGGCUGUUAACCGCAAGGUUGAAGGUUCGAAUCCUUCUCGAGGAGCCA
Molecule: transfer RNA, 75 nt
Filed under: Chloroflexota bacterium
Lineage: Bacteria; Bacillati; Chloroflexota
Description: Chloroflexi bacterium tRNA-Asn
Rfam family: tRNA
About the family: Transfer RNA (tRNA) molecules are approximately 80 nucleotides in length. Their secondary structure includes four short double-helical elements and three loops (D, anti-codon, and T loops).
Source: RNAcentral